RNAcentral lists this unclassified non-coding RNA (291 nucleotides) under plant metagenome. RNAcentral describes it as "partial contains small subunit ribosomal RNA, internal transcribed spacer 1, and 5.8S ribosomal RNA". The stretch from base 1 to 54 matches the Rfam family "Eukaryotic small subunit ribosomal RNA", at positions 1778 to 1831 of the family's 1831-position model. The record is from RNAcentral.
GGAAAUAAAAGUCGUAACAAGGUUUCCGUAGGUGAACCUGCGGAAGGAUCAUUAAUGAGUUGUCAUGGGGUUCGAUGCUGGCAGCCAAUUUUUGGAUGCAUGUGCUUGCCCUAACAAUCAUCUUCCAAACACCUGUGCACAUUUUUGAGGGAGUCUUGAGUUGGUUGCCGCUCUUGGGUGAUUUUCUCACAUUCCCUUAAAUCAUUAUACGCUAUUAACAAUGUUGAACGUGCUCUGUGCCGCAAGGCUAUUAAUAUAAUACAACUUUUAACAACGGAUCUCUUGGCUCUC